Molecule: long non-coding RNA, 2602 nt
Organism: Salmo trutta (river trout)
Lineage: Eukaryota; Metazoa; Chordata; Actinopteri; Salmoniformes; Salmonidae
Source: Ensembl
ACCUAUUCAUUGGUUACACUUUAUUUUACAGUCCGGUUUCACAUUUUAUUUUAUGUAUGUUUUAUUUAACCAGGAAGGCUGUUGAGAUAUUUUUUCCGAAGGAGACCUGGCCAAGAAAGCAGCAUACAGUCAAGUGCAGAAAGUUACAUGUUUUUUGUCUGGUAUUUACUAAGAGCGUAUUUAUGGUGACAAUGAAUACUUCCUGGAAGUUUCGUCAAAGACGUCGAAAUAAUAGGUAACCUGGUACUAAAUGGUAUGGUACUAAAUGGUGUUUGAAAUGAAUCCAAAGGAACAUAAGUUAUUACCAGGUAGUGGACUGUUUAAGGUCGACUGACCUAAAGCUCAGCUACUAUUAAAAUACAUUUGCAUCUGAAUGGAAGUGUGCAGAGACUUUUCCCUGUUUCUCCAGUUUUGCAUUUUGCCUCCAGCACCACCACUAAUCGGUUUUGUGUGUACGGUACAUUCUGCCUAUUAUCCCAGGUAGUGAACUAUAAAAUAAAGUGAAAUUCAUUUAUUUUUCAUUCAAUCACUAAUUAAUUCAUUAAACCAAAGCCCAAUAUUAGUAAUGACGUGAAAAGGUAUUUACAAUAUGACUACAAAAGACUACACCACUCUCAAAACAACAUCAGCUUAGCUGCCCCAUUUUUCUCCUCAAAAGUACCUAGCUACUUUGUGUGUGUAUAGCAGUCCUUCGAUCCUCCCUUACUCAAUCCGUCUCUCCUUACCCCAUGUCUCUCCCCUCAGUGGUAGGAAACGCUGGUCCAAGCACUUUCUCCAGCUCUAAAGGGGGCUUCCUAGGCAAACCUUUGCUCUCGCAGCCUGUCCGCUCGUGGGAGCUGUGAGCAUCUGACUACCACGUCACCCUCCUCUUCCAAUCAGCAGCACUGUGUGCUGACCUUUGACCCUAGCCAGGGCGGUGGCCACCACUCCACCUCCACCCCAGCACCUGCUCUAUCACUGGGACUCCUGAAGCUGCUGAAGGAGCAGGGCAUCUCUGCCUCCACCCUCCCCUACCCAUACCACCAACUGACCCCACACACACCCCACACACGCCCCACAACGGCAGAGGAAGAGCGGGGUGGAGGAACAUGCACUAUGGAGGAAGAAGGGAGAAUGAACAUUUUCAGCUUCAACCUGGUAGAGAAGCUGAGGAGUCUGGGACUUCACAAGGUGGCAGCCCGAGGCGUGGUGGACUGAAGCGAGCACGAAGAGGAGAAAGAAGCAAUCCGACAAUACAGACAUCCACCUAAAGUCUGAGAAAGACUGGGAAAACUCCUUCUCCCCUUCCUCCUUAAUCGUCAUUGACUUCAAUCCACAUGCUGGCUAUGCCACUGUACCGACAUUUUGUGUUUCGGGCCCACAGCAAUACAUCGUAAAAUGGAACCUCGGGAGAACCAUAGAGCCAUAAGUUGAGUUUCUGUUACGUCUACAGUCACUCUUCUUUUUGUAAUGGACUCAUGUAUUGUAUAUACUAGGUCUCCACGACAAUGUGUGACAUCAUGAUCAUUCUCAGGAGAAUCACCUGAUCACCGGUCUGGCUGGCUUGAACGUGCGCAAGUUAUUAUUAUUUUUUUAUCAAAGAAAAACAUGCGUUUCUUUUUUUAUACCUGUGUUUCGUGGGUGUCGGAUGGUUUUACACGUUUUUCUUUAAAGACCCCUAUGCUUUUUUAAUAUAUAUUUUUACCAUCAAAUACAAUCACAUUACCUUUUCAUUACUUGGGGAAAGAUAUCGUUAUUUAAGAACCACCAAACUGACCAGUUUGUCAUCCACAGAUGCGCUGGAAUUCAGUAUGUCCUUUUGCAUAUUAGCUGCUAUUAGAAAAUGAAGCAUUUGUGGGUAUUAACCACAUUGACUUUACUGUGGUAAAACCACAAGCACUUCAAUCACUCCCCAUUACAGAAUGGUAGAGAGAUUGAUACACUGACUUUACUUCCUGAACGUUUGUGACAUUAUUGACAUUCACUGAGGUAUACUACUCUGCUCUUUACCCAAAAGUCCUCAUUUAGCUCUCGCAGUACUGUGCGUUUACAUGGCAUCACGCAUCACCUGCUGCAAGUCAUUGUAAAAUAAUGCUUUACUUCGAAAUGCUGUCAAUUAUUGUAAACUUAUUUAGUCGAACCUCACCAAAGCAUUCAGGUAGUCUACCAUACUGUAUCAAAGACAACAGAAAGUGACUGUAAAUGGUCUCUGCACUAGUCUAUGUGCUGGAUCUGUGUUAACAGACCUUAAACUAAAGUGUUGUUGGUACAAAUGUAAUUCAUGUCAUCAGGAAUAAUGAAAGUGAGUUGAAUGAAAAAAAUUAUGAUCAAAUGAUCAUGGACUGCAUGCUUUUUUGGAUGCUCUUUCAGCUGUCUGGACAAUCAAUUGUAGAUAAAAGGCGUAGGAUACUGCAGAUCAAAAGGGAAAAAGAUAGCAAAUUAUGACAAUUUGAAUUCAGAAGAAAAUUAACCAAACAGCACUACAUAUAUUUCAGAUGUUGAAAUUGACUACUCUUUGCUGAAUUCUAUGUUAUGAUCACUGAGAUGUAUGUCUGUAUAUAUUGUACCACAUGUACAUUAAAAAGUACAUUGUAUUUCCAUCAGCCACACGUGCAUGCGUGUU